Molecule: ribosomal RNA, 228 nt
Filed under: uncultured bacterium
Lineage: Bacteria
Description: partial 16S ribosomal RNA
Rfam family: Bacterial small subunit ribosomal RNA
Source: RNAcentral
CGCGCAGGCGGUCUUGUCCGUCAGGUGUGAAAGCUCGGGGCUCAACCCCGGAAGUGCACUUGAAACAGCAAGACUUGAAUACGGGAGAGGAGAGAGGAAUUCCUGGUGUAGAGGUGAAAUUCGUAGAUAUCAGGAGGAACACCAAUGGCGAAGGCAUCUCUCUGGACCGAUAUUGACGCUGAGGCGCGAAGGCGUGGGGAGCGAACAGGAUUAGAUACCUGGUAGUCC